This 494-nucleotide ribosomal RNA is filed under the name uncultured bacterium. RNAcentral's name for it is "partial 16S ribosomal RNA". It matches the Rfam family "Bacterial small subunit ribosomal RNA", at positions 28 to 507 of the family's 1533-position model. The record is from RNAcentral.
GACGAACGCUGGCGGCGUGCUUAACACAUGCAAGUCGAACGGUGAAGCGCCUUCCUUUUUGGUGGGUGUGGAUGAGUGGCGAACGGGUGAGUAACACGUGAGUAACCUGCCCCCUUCUUCUGGAUAACCGCAUGAAAGUGUGGCUAAUACGGGAUAUUCUGGGUCUGUCGCAUGAUGGGUCUGGGAAAGAUAUUGUUUCGGUGGGGGAUGGGCUCGCGGCCUAUCAGCUUGUUGGUGGGGUGAUGGCCUACCAAGGCGGUGACGGGUAGCCGGCCUGAGAGGGUGGACGGUCACGCUGGGACUGAGACACGGCCCAGGCUCCUACGGGAGGCAGCAGUGGGGAAUAUUGCACAAUGGGCGCAAGCCUGAUGCAGCGACGCCGCGUGAGGGAUGGAGGCCUUCGGGUUGUGAACCUCUUUCGCCAGUGAAGCAGGCCUGCCUCGUUUGUGGGUGGGUUGACGGUAGCUGGAUAAGAAGCGCCGGCUAACUACGUG